This 1685-nucleotide ribosomal RNA is filed under the name Salmonella enterica. Its description in RNAcentral is "partial 23S ribosomal RNA". It matches the Rfam family "Bacterial large subunit ribosomal RNA", at positions 1262 to 2925 of the family's 2925-position model. The record is from RNAcentral. Lineage: Bacteria; Pseudomonadati; Pseudomonadota; Gammaproteobacteria; Enterobacterales; Enterobacteriaceae.
UGUGAGGGUUGCUGGAGGUAUCAGAAGUGCGAAUGCUGACAUAAGUAACGAUAAAGCGGGUGAAAAGCCCGCUCGCCGGAAGACCAAGGGUUCCUGUCCAACGUUAAUCGGGGCAGGGUGAGUCGACCCCUAAGGCGAGGCCGAAAGGCGUAGUCGAUGGGAAACGGGUUAAUAUUCCCGUACUUGGUGUUACUGCGAAGGGGGGACGGAGAAGGCUAUGUUGGCCGGGCGACGGUUGUCCCGGUUUAAGCGUGUAGGCUGGUUUUCCAGGCAAAUCCGGAAAAUCAAGGCUGAGGCGUGACGACGAGGCACUACGGUGCUGAAGCAACAAAUGCCCUGCUUCCAGGAAAAGCCUCUAAGCAUCAGGUAACACGAAAUCGUACCCCAAACCGACACAGGUGGUCAGGUAGAGAAUACCAAGGCGCUUGAGAGAACUCGGGUGAAGGAACUAGGCAAAAUGGUGCCGUAACUUCGGGAGAAGGCACGCUGACACGUAGGUGAAGUGAUUUACUCAUGGAGCUGAAGUCAGUCGAAGAUACCAGCUGGCUGCAACUGUUUAUUAAAAACACAGCACUGUGCAAACACGAAAGUGGACGUAUACGGUGUGACGCCUGCCCGGUGCCGGAAGGUUAAUUGAUGGGGUCAGCGCAAGCGAAGCUCCUGAUCGAAGCCCCGGUAAACGGCGGCCGUAACUAUAACGGUCCUAAGGUAGCGAAAUUCCUUGUCGGGUAAGUUCCGACCUGCACGAAUGGCGUAAUGAUGGCCAGGCUGUCUCCACCCGAGACUCAGUGAAAUUGAACUCGCUGUGAAGAUGCAGUGUACCCGCGGCAAGACGGAAAGACCCCGUGAACCUUUACUAUAGCUUGACACUGAACAUUGAGCCUUGAUGUGUAGGAUAGGUGGGAGGCUUUGAAGUGUGGACGCCAGUCUGCAUGGAGCCGACCUUGAAAUACCACCCUUUAAUGUUUGAUGUUCUAACGUGGACCCGUAAUCCGGGUUGCGGACAGUGUCUGGUGGGUAGUUUGACUGGGGCGGUCUCCUCCUAAAGAGUAACGGAGGAGCACGAAGGUUGGCUAAUCCUGGUCGGACAUCAGGAGGUUAGUGCAAUGGCAUAAGCCAGCUUGACUGCGAGCGUGACGGCGCGAGCAGGUGCGAAAGCAGGUCAUAGUGAUCCGGUGGUUCUGAAUGGAAGGGCCAUCGCUCAACGGAUAAAAGGUACUCCGGGGAUAACAGGCUGAUACCGCCCAAGAGUUCAUAUCGACGGCGGUGUUUGGCACCUCGAUGUCGGCUCAUCACAUCCUGGGGCUGAAGUAGGUCCCAAGGGUAUGGCUGUUCGCCAUUUAAAGUGGUACGCGAGCUGGGUUUAGAACGUCGUGAGACAGUUCGGUCCCUAUCUGCCGUGGGCGCUGGAGAACUGAGGGGGGCUGCUCCUAGUACGAGAGGACCGGAGUGGACGCAUCACUGGUGUUCGGGUUGUCAUGCCAAUGGCACUGCCCGGUAGCUAAAUGCGGAAGAGAUAAGUGCUGAAAGCAUCUAAGCACGAAACUUGCCCCGAGAUGAGUUCUCCCUGAGACUUAGAGUCUCCUGAAGGAACGUUGAAGACGACGACGUUGAUAGGCCGGGUGUGUAAGCGCAGCGAUGCGUUGAGCUAACCGGUACUAAUGAACCGUGAGGCUUAACCUUAC